RNAcentral lists this ribosomal RNA (253 nucleotides) under uncultured bacterium. RNAcentral describes it as "partial 16S ribosomal RNA". It matches the Rfam family "Bacterial small subunit ribosomal RNA", at positions 524 to 776 of the family's 1533-position model. The record is from RNAcentral.
UACGUAGGGGGCGAGCGUUGUCCGAAGUUCCUGGGCGUAAAGCGCGCGUAGGCGGGUUGGCAAGUCUGCUGUGAAAGCCCGGGGCUUAACUCCGGAGGGUCGGUGGAUACUGCCAGUCUUGAAGGUGCUAGGGAGAGAUGGAAUUACAGGUGUAGCGGUGAAAUGCGUAGAUAUCUGUAGGAACACCAGUGGCGAAGGCGACACGCUGGGCCGUACCUGAUACUGAACCGCGACAGCAUGGGGAGCAAACAGG